AUUCCUGUCCUCUGAUCUGACUGGACAGAACUAACUAUAUGUUUCAGAAUCUAGGAGCUUGUUUGUAUGAUGAACUGUUUUCAGAAGACAUUUGUUGUGAGUGGGCACUAAAUAAAUAAACUAAACAGAUGACACCAUGAUUUGGUUUAUUGGGGGUGUGGUCAGUUCUAUAGAGACACAAACCAUACAGCUUCUAUGGUGUGUUUGUGACCUGCUGUCUCAGGUCACAAACACACUACAUAAACUGCUUCUAUACAGUCAUUUAAAAAGAAUACUAUAUAACCGGUUUCUGACUCUAGUCUCAGUCUGAUCAGUUAACCCACCCCAACACAGACCCUGAUCCAUGGUUCAACAGGGGCAGCUGGACUCCUGGAAACACCAGGUUGCCAUGAAAACCUGCGUGUUUGGUUUGAACAUGCAUGUUUCUCUACACGCCAACAUCACACAGCAACACCCUGCGUCCCUUCAGCCUCAACGUGUGUCUACUGCAGCUGCAGAUCAACACAUCAUGAACUUCUCCCCAACAAAGUCCAACUCUACAACAAUCAGAACCUUUCCCUGCAAAGAUCACUUGACUUGACAGGUGUCCCAACGAACGAACCUGCAUGCGUUCAGACUAGCACAGGGUGGUGCAGCUCUGACCUGCAGUGAUUAACAGUUGUCCAAUUAAUUUAAAUUGUGAAACACAAUCAUUGAUCACAGUGAUUGGCUAGGUGUUAAUGAUGUCAGCAGGGUGUGGAUUAAACAAAACGCACAGACGGAGGGUAAAAUCUGAAAGAACUAACAGGAAAAGCAUUAUCAUCAGCACAGAAAGAGAAGAACCAGCUGCAGAUGGGUCAGAAAUGUAUCUCUGUAUCCUCAACCAGACGCAGCAGUAACACCUGAAGCUCUCAGACAUAGCUGUACUCUGCAGCCAGACUGAAGCUCAGCUGGAAAACAUCUGAACUAUAAACAGCAGCCUGAUUGGCUGGCAUUGGAGUGGUCAUUACAGGUUACAUCCUGCAGGAGGCAGACUGGAGCAGCUUGUUCCUUCAGAAGAAGAAAGAACAGAAGAUCAGGAGGAAAUGAUUACAUCUGGCUCCAGAACUGAAGGACCAUCCAGGUUCUGAUCCAGAGUUUGGUCAUAACUGAUUCCUAACAUCUAACUGAACAGCAACUGUGACCCAGUUAUAUCUUUACAUGGAGCAGCCCAGGAGGAGCCUGAAGGACGUCAGGGCUCACCUGAGCCUUUCUACACCUUCUGGGGCUCCUGAAGGCAAUGGAAAGAUGAUGCUGCAAGGUUCAGGAGCUCAAUGUCCAUCAUGAUGUGUGACAUCAUGCAGAGAUGUGCCAUCAUAGUCAUGAAAACGACACACACACAUGAACAGACAGAUCUAGUACAACCCGAGAGUAACCAUGACAACAGCAGGUUUAGUUGAGUUCAUUUCCAGAACCUGGCCUAGAUAAUCUUGGACCAGCAUUCCUGACAGACAGAAGGUGCCUCUGCACAUGCCAGAAACUUGCUAGGCCUAUUAGUAGCAAUCUCUCUGUUGGACCGGUUCCGGAAAACUGAUCUGAGCUCUGUCACUGUGUUGCUCAGGCUCUGUUCUGGUACCAUCACCUUGAGAGAUCCCGCAGGUCUGAGAGAUGGAGUCAUUUCACCAUGGACAUUUUGUGACGGGGUACAGCUGAAGAGAAAUACACUUUCAAAUGUACAAAGGAGCAGUUUAUGAAGUUCAGGGGUCAGAACCACCACCUUUUUACUGGAGUUAAAAACUCAGCCACCGUGGCUUGGAGGUACAA
This is a long non-coding RNA of Girardinichthys multiradiatus, 1782 nucleotides long. RefSeq lists it as uncharacterized. Lineage: Eukaryota; Metazoa; Chordata; Actinopteri; Cyprinodontiformes; Goodeidae. The transcript has 3 exons. The record is from RefSeq and is a predicted model, not a curated record.